Non-coding RNA from Gallus gallus (chicken), 289 nucleotides. The record is from Rfam. NCBI's taxonomy places the organism in Eukaryota, Metazoa, Chordata, Aves, Galliformes, Phasianidae.
UAGCGCUAACGCAAUUAGUGGAAAAAGAAUUACAGUUAGGACAUAUAGAACCUUCACUUAGUUGUUGGAACACACCUGUCUUUGUGAUCCGGAAGGCUUCCGGGUCUUAUCGCUUAUUGCAUGACUUGCGCGCUGUUAACGCCAAGCUUGUUCCUUUUGGGGCCGUCCAACAGGGGGCGCCAGUUCUCUCCGCGCUCCCGCGUGGCUGGCCCCUGAUGGUCCUAGACCUCAAGGAUUGCUUCUUUUCUAUUCCUCUUGCGGAACAAGAUCGCGAAGCUUUUGCAUUUAC